CUUUAGAACCCACGAGUGAUGAGCUGGAUGGUAUCGUUUUUACACAGUCUGACUAUGAUUUAACAAGAGACGUAUUCCUGAACGUUAGAGAGGUCAGCGUUUAUAACCAUCUGCCUCCGAAAAAAUCAAAGUUGAGACGAAAACUUGUCUUUAAAAAAGACAAUCCGAUCCCAGCUAAACAUGAAAUAGAGGGCGAAGCCAUUCAUGCACCACAGUCACCUGACCGUGCGCCGGAAAAAUUAACAGCUCCGGAAGAGGAGAAUAUAUCGAAUGAUUUAAUCCAGAACCCAAGCCUGGAUAACAUUCAGCAGAACUGUAG
Girardinichthys multiradiatus is the source of this 319-nucleotide long non-coding RNA. RefSeq lists it as uncharacterized. The transcript is spliced from 3 exons. The record is from RefSeq and is a predicted model, not a curated record. NCBI's taxonomy places the organism in Eukaryota, Metazoa, Chordata, Actinopteri, Cyprinodontiformes, Goodeidae.